AGAGCGGUGGUGAAACUGGCAGUUGACGGCUCCUGGGACUAGAUCCCGCGAGGUAGCCCCCGAACUAUUUCUCUACGUUUUCUCUUGAUCCUCCCGAAAUCUUCCAGAUCCGCGUAGUGAGGAAUCGUCUCCACCGUCAUGGGGGGCGGAGACCUGAAUCUGAAGAAGAGCUGGCACCCGCAGACCCUCAGGAAUGUGGAGAAAGUGUGGAAGGCCGAGCAGAAGCAUGAGGCUGAGCGGAAGAAGAUUGAGGAGCUUCAGCGGGAGCUGCGAGAAGAGAGAGCCCGGGAAGAGAUGCAGCGCUAUGCGGAGGAUGUUGGGGCCGUCAAGUCAUCUUGGAAAUGAAAGCAUAAUAUAAAGACUCUGUAAAGGAGACUCGAGAAGCUCUGAGCCAAGAUCCACACCCCAUGUUGAGGAACACUGGUUUUCCUUAUAAAUUGCUUUAUGAAAAAAGAAGAAAAGUUGGACUGGAUGUACCAGGGUCCUGGUGGGAUGGUGAACCGUGACGAGUACCUGCUGGGGCGCCCCAUUGACAAAUAUGUUUUUGAGAAGAUGGAGGAGAAGGAGGCAGGCUGCUCUUCUGAAACAGGACUUCUCCCAGGCUCUAUCUUUGCCCCAUCAGGUGCCAAUUCCCUUCUUGACAUGGCCAGCAAGAUCCGGGAGGACCCACUCUUCAUCAUCAGGAAGAAGGAGGAGGAGAAAAAACGAGAGGUAUUAAAUAAUCCAGUGAAAAUGAAGAAAAUCAAAGAAUUGUUGCAAAUGAGUCUGGAAAAAAAGGAGAAGAAGAAAAAGAAGGAGAAGAAAAAGAAGCACAAGAAACAUAAGCACAGAAGCUCGAGUAGUGAUCGUUCCAGCAGCGAGGAUGAGCACAGUGCAGGGAGAUCACAGAAGAAGAUGGCAAAUUCCUCCCCUGUUUUGUCCAAAGUCCCUGGAUAUGGCUUACAGGUCCGGAACUCUGACCGUAACCAGGGUCUUCAGGGUCCUCUGACAGCAGAGCAAAAGAGAGGGCAUGGGAUGAAGAACCAUUCCAGAUCCAGAAGCUCCUCCCACUCACCCCCAAGACAUGCCAGCAAGAAGAGCACCAGGGAAGCAGGGUCCCGGGACAGGAGGUCUCGAUCCCUGGGCAGAAGGUCACGGUCCCCAAGACCCAGCAAACUGCACAACUCUAAGGUGAACAGGAGAGAGACAGGCCAAACUAGGAGCCCAUCACCUAAAAAAGAGGUCUACCAAAGGCGACAUGCUCCCGGAUACACCAGAAAACUCUCUGCAGAGGAAUUAGAGCGAAAACGGCAAGAGAUGAUGGAAAACGCCAAAUGGAGGGAGGAGGAGAGACUGAACAUCCUCAAGAGGCAUGCUAAGGAUGAGGAACGGGAGCAGAGGCUAGAGAAGCUGGACUCCCGGGAUGGGAAGUUCAUCCACCGCAUGAAGCUGGAGAGUGCAUCUACUUCCUCCCUGGAGGAUCGGGUGAAGCGGAAUAUCUACUCUUUACAGAGAACUUCGGUAGCUCUGGAGAAGAACUUUAUGAAAAGAUGAAAACUGUCCCCUCUCUUAUUGGUUUUCCUGCAUUUUCCAGGGAAGCUGCUGACCCCUUAAUUCUCUUUAUAAGAGUUCAAAUGACUUCUUUCACAGAUGUCAAACCACCAGUGUUCAAAGUGACCCUGCUUCAUUGAGUCCUGAAACAGCUCACUUCCUUUGAGAGCUAGUGUGACUUGCUUUGUGGGACACUCAGUAACUUUGGGUUUUGACUCUUUAACGGGUGGGCACUGGACCAUCUCGGUGGGAGUGCUUGUGCCACUCUGGAAGGCUGUUCCCUGGGGUUGUGAUGUUUAUCAUGCCACUUCCUUCUUACCUGUGCCAACAGACCUAUUUCACUGCCUCAGCGUACACCAGACCCUUCAGAAACCUCUCUGGUGUCACCCAGAUAGAUUGUGCUUACUGAGACAAAUGAACGUUUACUUGAUUUAGAAGAUAAUGUGACAGAAUGAUGUCAGGUUAGGUCAAAGCCAAGGGAGUGACAGAAUCUGGAAAAUCAAACAAUACAAAAAGCCCUAAAUGAACUGUUAACUAUUUGAUCUUUGGAUGUAAAAUUGUAAUGCGUAUAUGUACAAAUGUACAAUUUUUACAUGCUUUUAAAAAAGGUUAGCUUUGUGAAAAUACCUUGUUUGGUCAAUGACUUUACUGGGUAAUAGAACCACAUUGAACCUUGAUGGCAAGUAAUACAAUAAGGCAGGCCAGCUCGUUUUUCUCUCUGAAUCUGGCUGGUUUAGGAGGAGCCUGGGUUUAUCGACGAGAUCUGGAGUAUCUAUUCUUUUCCACUGCUUGCAGUCUCCAAUGUAGGCAGUGUAAAGGUAUAGUAAAAUGAUUUUAGGAGUCAGAACCAAAUUGCCAAUAUGCUCCAUGGCUCCUAAAGGAAAAUAAAAUGGAAGUUUUUAUUUUGCGGCUUCACUUCUUACCGUGUAGUAACCUUACUACAAUUACAGAUUUUCAGGAGUUGUUUGCUAGUCUCUUUCAGUCAGGUACUAAAAAAAAAACAAAAAACAGGCUGGGCGCGGUGGCUCACACCUGUAAUCUCAGCACUUUGGGAGGCUGAGGUGGGCGGAUCACGAGGUCAGGAGAUCGAGACCAUCCUGGCGAACACGGUGAAACCCCGUCUCUACUAAAAAAAUACAAAAAAUUAGCCGGGCGUGGUGGCGGGCGCCUGUAGUCCCAGCUACUCGGGAGGCUGAGGCAGGAGAAUGGCGUGAACCCAGGAGGCGGAGCUUGCAGUGAGCCGAGAUUGUGCCACCGCACUCCAGCCUGGGUGACAGAGCGAGAUUCCGUCUCAAAAAACAACAGCAACAAAACAAAACCCUCGAGGGGCCACUCUCCUGUCUUUACUCCUUUUCCCUUCUCUAUUCUUUCACCAGAAGCCCUCAUUUGACCAGUGAACUCCUAGGCCCUCUUGACCCGCACAUUAGCUGGGCGAUUUCCUUGUUCUGCUAAUUCCUAAUUCUGCUUAAAAUGUAUUUGGAUUUCUGUUUUUGAACACUUAUGAUGCCAGGCACUGUAAUGCUUGAAACCCGAUCUUUCCCUAGAGAAUGUAACAUACGUUUUUAUUCAUUUAAUCACUUCAUUAUGCCGGGGUUAAUUAUGUUUAUUUUAUAAUUGGUAAUAAAGGCCACAUUUAUUUUUGUAACUGUUUAAA
Molecule: RNA transcript, 3184 nt
Organism: Homo sapiens (human)
Lineage: Eukaryota; Metazoa; Chordata; Mammalia; Primates; Hominidae
Gene: CWC25
Gene name: CWC25 spliceosome associated protein
Exons: 11
Source: RefSeq, marked reviewed